AUCCUUUUGUAGUUCAUAAGCAUGAUGAUUGGGUUUUCACGCUCAUGUGUGAGAUGUGCCUCCCUCAAACCUUGUUACGACAUUGGCAUAUCACUCUUCUGACG
RNAcentral lists this small nucleolar RNA (104 nucleotides) under Microcebus murinus (gray mouse lemur). RNAcentral describes it as "Small nucleolar RNA U13 (ENSMICG00000045310.1)". It matches the Rfam family "Small nucleolar RNA U13". The record is from Rfam by way of RNAcentral. Lineage: Eukaryota; Metazoa; Chordata; Mammalia; Primates; Cheirogaleidae.